GGAAAUCUCACCAGGCCCGGACACUGGAAGGAUUGACAGAUUGAUAGCUCUUUCUUGAUUCGGUGGGUGGUGGUGCAUGGCCGUUCUUAGUUGGUGGAGUGAUUUGUCUGGUUAAUUCCGCUAACGAACGAGACCUUAACCUGCUAAAUAGUGACGCGGUUCAUCGAACCGUGGGCCACUUCUUAGAGGGACUAUCGGAUUCAAACCGAUGGAAGUGUGAGGCAAUAA
RNAcentral lists this ribosomal RNA (228 nucleotides) under uncultured eukaryote. RNAcentral describes it as "partial 18S ribosomal RNA". It matches the Rfam family "Eukaryotic small subunit ribosomal RNA", at positions 1208 to 1456 of the family's 1831-position model. The record is from RNAcentral.